GACGAACGCUGGCGGCGUGCCUAAUACAUGCAAGUCGAGCGAAGAUUUUCUGGUGCUUGCACUAGAAAAACUUAGCGGCGAACGGGUGAGUAACACGUAAAGAACCUGCCUCAUAGACUGGGACAACUAUUGGAAACGAUAGCUAAUACCGGAUAACAGCAUUAACUGCAUGGUUGAAGUUUAAAAGUUGGUUUUGCUAACACAAUGAGAUGGCUUUGCGGUGCAUUAGCUAGUUGGUGGGGAAAAGGCUUACCAAGGCGACGAUGCAUAGCCGACCUGAGAGGGUGAUCGGCCACACUGGGACUGAGACACGGCCCAGACUCCUACGGGAGGCAGCAGUAGGGAAUCUUCCGCAAUGGGCGAAAGCCUGACGGAGCAACGCCGCGUGAGUGAAGAAGGAUUUCGGUUCGUAAAGCUCUGUUGUUAGGGAAGAAUGAUUGUGUAGUAACUAUACACAGUAGAGACGGUACCUAACCAGAAAGCCACGGCUAACUACGUG
This 499-nucleotide ribosomal RNA is filed under the name uncultured bacterium. Its description in RNAcentral is "partial 16S ribosomal RNA". It matches the Rfam family "Bacterial small subunit ribosomal RNA", at positions 28 to 507 of the family's 1533-position model. The record is from RNAcentral.